Molecule: ribosomal RNA, 253 nt
Filed under: uncultured bacterium
Lineage: Bacteria
Description: partial 16S ribosomal RNA
Rfam family: Bacterial small subunit ribosomal RNA
Source: RNAcentral
UACGGGGGGAGCAAGCGUUGUUCGGAUUUAUUGGGCGUAAAGAGCUCGUAGGCGGUUUGUCGCGUCGGCCGUGAAAACUUGGGGCUUAACUCCAAGCUUGCGGUCGAUACGGGCAGACUUGAGUUCGGCAGGGGAGACUGGAAUUCCUGGUGUAGCGGUGAAAUGCGCAGAUAUCAGGAGGAACACCGGUGGCGAAGGCGGGUCUCUGGGCCGAUACUGACGCUGAGGAGCGAAAGCGUGGGGAGCGAACAGG